AUGUGUUUAAAAAAAAAUCCUAUAAGGCGCCACUUCAUGUAAAGCGGAGCACUGCCUUGCCAUCUCUAGACCGCAUCAGUGCGUUGCCUUACCAACGCCUUAAAAACUAUGCAUGCACCACACUCAUACAUAUACAUGUUAGAAAGACCCUAAGUGCAACCUAAGUAGAUUGGUCUCAUGCUCAUAUUUGAUAGACAAUCAAAAACACAAAACAGAGACGAUCCGGUACUUACCGGAUUGAACCGGUAACUACCGGAUAGCCUUUGUGAUGAAAAAUUUCUUAGAUAUGACCAAUAGAGACCAUCUGGUACCUACUGGAUGGAUCCGGAUAUUCUUCCGGUUGGUCGGAUUGGUUCCGGAUGAGAUUUACAUCUCAGAUAUGGCCAACAAAGGCCAUCCGGUAUCUACCGGAUUGAACCGGUACCUACCGGAUGCCUCCUGAACACCUCUAAUGGCUAUAUUUUGGACACAAAGGUUAGUUUUAUGAGUCUAACGGCUAUAUUGUGGGCAACGGUAACAUGAUCCGGUACCUACCGGUUGAGACAAUUUUUUCCCGUUUGAGUUUAUACUCAUUCCUAAAUUGGAGAUACUGUUACCCAAAUUAAGCCCAACCCUCUCCCAUAUAAAUACCCCACUAAUGGCUUUAUUAAUAACCAAUUAAGUGAGCAUUAAACAAUCAUUAGCAAAGCCAUUAAGUGACAGUCAAACAUUAUUCUUUGAGUUCCAACUUUGUGAUUAAAGCUCAAGUUCCAAGGAACUCAAGUGCUGGUUAGAAGGCUCCAUCAACCUUCAUAUACAAAAGGAGACAACUAAGGUGCAAUUUUUUAUUCAUUUCAUAUUCAUAGCACGCACCGCACGAGGUAACUCAAACUUUAUUCCACUUUUCUUUAUUACACUUGUCUAGACUAUACUUAGGCUAGUGUAGGAUUCUCUUAUCCAAAUAAGAUUGUAAGGGUGCUUCUCUACCCAUAAAGGAGAUUGUAAAGGUGCCUCUCUACCUAUAAAGGAGAUUGUGUAAAAGGUUUUCUUCCCUACCUACUGUACUGAAAGGGAGUACUAGUGGAAUACCUUACAAGAGGAUCUUGUAGGGAGUGGACUAGAUUCGGAUUGAGUCGAACCACUAUAAAUCUUGGUGUACCACUAUAAAUCUCGGUGUAGUGUGAUUGUGAAUUUUUAUUCCGCACUAGUUUUUAAUUCAUAGUCACAUUUGGGAAUCCGAUAUAUUCGAAAAGAUUUUAAUUCCACUAGUAUAACCUAUUCAUCCCCCCUCUAGGUUAUUUCAUGUUUCUUCGUAUUUUCAUCUAAUCCAAUUUGGGGUGUGUAAGCACUAAUUAUAUUAAUUAUCCCUUUUCCUAACACAAGUUUAAUGGACAUUAUUUUAUCACCGAAUCUUUUAGCAUUGUACAACAUCAUUUUUUAUAUCUUUAUCUGCUACUACUCUCACCCCAUUUCUAUUAUUGUUGUCCCUAGUAUACCAAAGUCGAUGGUCAUCUAAUUCUUUAGCAUUUUUUCCUUCAAUCAUGUCUCUUGUAUACGAGCUAUGUUCGUUCUUCUUCUUCUUCUUCUUGUUACACAUGUCAAUUCCACACUUUUUUCCCAUUAAAUUUCCGAUGUUCCACAAUAUGCUAAUCUAGUCCUACGCUUUAUUUUGGCCAAGUGACAGAAUAAAGCUUUGAAAAUCCUGGACUACCGAGAAGGUGCUCACCUGGACAUGGGCUGCGGAAAGGGAACAUGUUUCUAUGAGACUGGCCACAUGUGGUGCUGUCCUCAUAUUUGAUAAUUGUAUUGAUGAUCCCAUCACUUGUAGAACAAAUGCUGUACUUUGAUACCAUGCCCAGGCCAGUUUUUUCUAUCCUUAA
Molecule: long non-coding RNA, 1859 nt
Organism: Macadamia integrifolia
Lineage: Eukaryota; Viridiplantae; Streptophyta; Magnoliopsida; Proteales; Proteaceae
Exons: 2
Source: RefSeq, a predicted model, not a curated record